This 548-nucleotide ribosomal RNA is filed under the name Holosporaceae bacterium. RNAcentral's name for it is "bacterial SSU rRNA". It matches the Rfam family "Bacterial small subunit ribosomal RNA", at positions 1 to 579 of the family's 1533-position model. Lineage: Bacteria; Pseudomonadati; Pseudomonadota; Alphaproteobacteria; Holosporales; Holosporaceae. The record is from RNAcentral.
UAACUUGAGAGUUUGAUCCUGGCUCAGAACGAACGCUGGCGGCACGCUUAACACAUGCAAGUCGAACGAAAUUAUGGGGCUUGCUCCAUAAUUUAGUGGCGCACGGGUGAGUAACACGUGGAUACCUGCCCAUUGGUGGUGAACAACUCCGGGAAACUGGAGCUAAUACACCGUAAGCUCGAGAGAGGAAAGGCCGUAAGGUCGCCGAUGGAGGGGUCUGCGUCUGAUUAGGUAGUUGGUGAGGUAAUGGCCCACCAAGCCAAUGAUCAGUAGCUGGUCUGAGAGGAUGGUCAGCCACACUGGAACUGAGAUACGGUCCAGACUCCUACGGGAGGCAGCAGUGGGGAAUAUUGGACAAUGGGGGAAACCCUGAUCCAGCGAUGCCGCGUGAGUGAUGAAGGCCUUAGGGUUGUAAAGCUCUUUUGACAGGGACGAUGAUGACGGUACCUGUAGAAUAAGCACCGGCUAACUCUGUGCCAGCAGCCGCGGUAAUACAGAGGGUGCUAGCGUUGUUCGGAAUUACUGGGCGUAAAGGGCGUGUAGGCGGU